AAAAAAAAAGUCUUCUAUUAUAGAUAAGACAAAGCUAACAUAGUUCCAUAUAAUAAAUUACUCAUAGACUUGGAAUUAUAGAGUAUGCAAAAAUCUUGGAUGGCUAUGAAAAUCCCACAGAAACUACUAAAAAUUACCACCAAGAACUCUCUUUUCCCCCUAACAAACACAAAAUAAAGACAACUCCAAUAUCUCUCUUCACCGAUGUAUAGUAAAAUAAGACCAAAACCACCUAUAAUUCCUAACUGCAAAACUUAUGGGUAUAUGAAAUUGAGAGAUUCCUCAACAAAAGCAAGAGUCUCAAGCUCAAUGUUGGGAAGAUCCAUCACCCCAUCCAUUGGAAGAUCCAUCACCUCCAUUGAAAAAUCUUCUGCAUCAUUGACACUGUCAAAAAACUUACCAAUAUCUGAGUAGUAAUCACCACUCAGCAGCUCUUGACUAAUAGAGGGAGAGAGUGAAGACUCUUCCCAUAAAUCAGAAAUUGAUUGCCUUUCUUCCACCAUUUUCCCCACAGUGAAUUCCUUCUCUGCCUUCUCCUCAAUUUUCUCUUCUUUAAUUGAACCUUCAACUCCAUGACUGAGUGAGGUUGUUGUAGACACAUCAAGAACAGAAGAUGGUGAUGGAUAAGAAAACAAACCAAUUGAUUCUUCGGAUUCAACUUUCGAAACAAUUGACAAUUUCUUAAAUUUUCUUGCUUCACUUGAUUCUUCGGAUUCAACUUUCGAAGCAAUUGACAAU
Molecule: unclassified non-coding RNA, 738 nt
Filed under: Hevea brasiliensis (rubber tree)
Lineage: Eukaryota; Viridiplantae; Streptophyta; Magnoliopsida; Malpighiales; Euphorbiaceae
Source: RNAcentral